CCUACGGGAGGCAGCAGUAGGGAAUAUUGCUCAAUGGGGGAAACCCUGAAGCAGCAACGCCGCGUGGAGGAUGAAGGUUUUCGGAUUGUAAACCUCUUUUGUUAGAGAAGAUAAUGACGGUAUCUAACGAAUAAGCACCGGCCAAUUCCGUGCCAGCAGCCGCGGUAAUACGGAGGGUGCAAGCGUUACUCGGAAUCACUGGGCGUAAAGAGAGCGUAGGCGGGAUGGCAAGUCAGAUGUGAAAUCCUAGGGCUUAACCAUAGAACUGCAUUUGAAACUGUUAGUCUGGAGUAUGGGAGAGGUAGGUGGAAUUCGUGGUGUAGGGGUAAAAUCCGUAGAGAUCAAGAGGAAUACUCAUUGCGAAGGCGACCUGCUAGAACAUAACUGACGCUGAUGCGCGAAAGCGUGGGUAGCAAACAGGAUUAGAUACCCGGGUAGUC
RNAcentral lists this ribosomal RNA (440 nucleotides) under uncultured bacterium. RNAcentral describes it as "partial 16S ribosomal RNA". It matches the Rfam family "Bacterial small subunit ribosomal RNA", at positions 338 to 795 of the family's 1533-position model. The record is from RNAcentral.